This 1444-nucleotide ribosomal RNA is filed under the name uncultured organism. RNAcentral describes it as "SSU rRNA". It matches the Rfam family "Bacterial small subunit ribosomal RNA". The record is from RNAcentral.
UCUACAGGCUUAACACAUGCAAGUCGAGGGGCAUCAGGAAGAAAGCUUGCUUUCUUUGCUGGCGACCGGCGCACGGGUGAGUAACACGUAUCCAACCUGCCCUUUACUCGGGGAUAGCCUUUCGAAAGAAAGAUUAAUACCCGAUAGCAUAAUGAUUCCGCAUGGUUUCAUUAUUAAAGGAUUCCGGUAAAGGAUGGGGAUGCGUUCCAUUAGGUUGUUGGUGAGGUAACGGCCCACCAAGCCUUCGAUGGAUAGGGGUUCUGAGAGGAAGGUCCCCCACAUUGGAACUGAGACACGGUCCAAACUCCUACGGGAGGCAGCAGUGAGGAAUAUUGGUCAAUGGGCGCUAGCCUGAACCAGCCAAGUAGCGUGAAGGAUGAAGGCUCUAUGGGUCGUAAACUUCUUUUAUAUAAGAAUAAAGUGCAGUAUGUAUACUGUUUUGUAUGUAUUAUAUGAAUAAGGAUCGGCUAACUCCGUGCCAGCAGCCGCGGUAAUACGGAGGAUCCGAGCGUUAUCCGGAUUUAUUGGGUUUAAAGGGAGCGUAGGUGGACUGGUAAGUCAGUUGUGAAAGUUUGCGGCUCAACCGUAAAAUUGCAGUUGAUACUGUCAGUCUUGAGUACAGUAGAGGUGGGCGGAAUUCGUGGUGUAGCGGUGAAAUGCUUAGAUAUCACGAAGAACUCCGAUUGCGAAGGCAGCUCACUGGACUGCAACUGACACUGAUGCUCGAAAGUGUGGGUAUCAAACAGGAUUAGAUACCCUGGUAGUCCACACAGUAAACGAUGAAUACUCGCUGUUUGCGAUAUACAGUAAGCGGCCAAGCGAAAGCAUUAAGUAUUCCACCUGGGGAGUACGCCGGCAACGGUGAAACUCAAAGGAAUUGACGGGGGCCCGCACAAGCGGAGGAACAUGUGGUUUAAUUCGAUGAUACGCGAGGAACCUUACCCGGGCUUAAAUUGCAGUGGAAUGAUGUGGAAACAUGUCAGUGAGCAAUCACCGCUGUGAAGGUGCUGCAUGGUUGUCGUCAGCUCGUGCCGUGAGGUGUCGGCUUAAGUGCCAUAACGAGCGCAACCCUUAUCUUUAGUUACUAACAGGUUAUGCUGAGGACUCUAGAGAGACUGCCGUCGUAAGAUGUGAGGAAGGUGGGGAUGACGUCAAAUCAGCACGGCCCUUACGUCCGGGGCUACACACGUGUUACAAUGGGGGGUACAGAAGGCAGCUAGCGGGUGACCGUAUGCUAAUCCCAAAAUCCUCUCUCAGUUCGGAUCGAAGUCUGCAACCCGACUUCGUGAAGCUGGAUUCGCUAGUAAUCGCGCAUCAGCCACGGCGCGGUGAAUACGUUCCCGGGCCUUGUACACACCGCCCGUCAAGCCAUGGGAGCCGGGGGUACCUGAAGUACGUAACCGCAAGGAUCGUCCUAGGGUAAAACUGGUGACUGGGGCUAAAA